CUACCCGGGUAUCUAAUCCUGUUUGCUCCCCACGCUUUCGCGUCUCAGCGUCAGUCACCGUCCAGAAGGCCGCCUUCGCCGCAGGUGUUCUGCUUGAUAUCUACGAAUUUCACCUCUACACCAAGCAUUCCACCUUCCUCUCCGGGACUCCAGCCAUGCAGUUUCGGAUGCACUUCCACGGUUGAGCCGUGGGCUUUCACAUCCGACUUGCAAAGCCGCCUACACGCGCUUUACGCCCAGUAAAUCCGAACAACGUUUGCACCCUCUGUCUUACCGCGGCGGCUGGCAC
Molecule: ribosomal RNA, 289 nt
Filed under: uncultured Myxococcales bacterium
Lineage: Bacteria; Pseudomonadati; Myxococcota; Myxococcia; Myxococcales
Description: partial 16S ribosomal RNA
Source: RNAcentral